RNAcentral lists this long non-coding RNA (282 nucleotides) under Setaria italica (foxtail millet). RNAcentral describes it as "long non-coding RNA (SITA_LNC003807)". The record is from RNAcentral. Lineage: Eukaryota; Viridiplantae; Streptophyta; Magnoliopsida; Poales; Poaceae.
AAGCAUCUGCCAGGAAGUGAUCGGAACAGCUAGCUUGCCCACAUGCGAAGAGGACCGGUUGAUAUCGAUUGCAUGUUCUCCCUGACCAGUCUAUUUGCGUGGCUACGGGUUGUUUGGAUACUAGCUAAAUUUUAGCAGUGUCAUAUCGGAUAUUCGAAUACUAAUUAGGAGGACUAAAUAUGAGCUAAUUAUAAAAUUAAUUGCAGAACCAUAUGCUAAUUCAUGAGACGAAUCUAUGAAACCUAAUUAAUCCGUCAUUAGCAAAUGGUUACUGUAGCACCA